This is an RNA transcript of Carassius carassius (crucian carp), 2449 nucleotides long. It is a transcript of the gene named KH domain-containing RNA-binding protein QKI-like, with no coding region annotated. The transcript has 8 exons. The record is from RefSeq and is a predicted model, not a curated record. NCBI's taxonomy places the organism in Eukaryota, Metazoa, Chordata, Actinopteri, Cypriniformes, Cyprinidae.
GUGAUCAUGUGACGGGAGAGCGCAAGAGGAGCUGGUCGGUAACGGAGGACCGAAUGCCAAUCUAAUUGAGAAAGCGCCUUUAUUGCGCGUGAGAGACGGGAGGGACAGACGUUUAUAGUGCUGCACACAUACACAGACGGACAAGACACAGGAAGCUCUGGGGAACUCGGGGAAAGGGUGCAUUUUCUUCGCCGCAAGAGGAAGUUAAGGACAAAUCUCUCGCUAAAAUAAAUCUUAAAAGGGGCACUGGGCACGCGGGAGUCGCCUUUGCGAGAAACUUGUGGGAUUUAUCGGGAAUUGUUUCUGAAAGGUGACCUGGCUUCCCUCUCCACACGUUUAUAUUUCAUUUGGUUCAUUUAAUUGCAUUUCAUCAGCUGCCCUGAACAUCUGUCAUCUCCCGAAUUGCCGUAGCAGCCUAUUGCAGCAGCGGAUUGUGCGUAAAGACAGAGACAGCAGCCUUUUCCGCGGACGAGUCAGGCACUUGCCUUCUUCACUUGCUUUAUUUAUUAUUUAUAUCCAAGCCUUUAUUUAUUUUGGGACUCUUUCCGUCUAUUUUGGGGCGUCGGUGGUGAUUUCUGUGGAAUAUGGUGGGGGAAAUGGAAACGAAAGAGAAGCCGAAGCCGACCCCAGAUUAUCUGAUGCAGCUCAUGAACGAUAAGAAACUGAUGAGCAGUCUGCCCAACUUCUGCGGGAUCUUCAACCACCUCGAACGGCUUCUCGACGAAGAGAUCAGCAGGGUACGAAAGGACAUGUACAACGACACGUUAAACGGCAGCACAGAGAAGAGAAGCUCCGAGCUCCCGGACGCCGUCGGCCCCAUCGUUCAGCUCCAAGAGAAACUCUAUGUGCCUGUUAAAGAAUAUCCUGACUUUAAUUUUGUGGGCCGGAUCUUGGGUCCGCGGGGGCUCACAGCCAAACAGCUGGAGGCAGAGACAGGAUGUAAGAUCAUGGUGAGAGGGAAAGGCUCCAUGAGGGACAAAAAGAAGGAGGAACAAAACCGAGGCAAACCCAACUGGGAGCAUCUGAAUGAAGACCUCCAUGUGCUCAUCACGGUGGAGGAUGCCCAGAACCGUGCUGAGAUAAAGCUUAAGCGUGCAGUGGAGGAGGUUAACAAGCUACUCGUGCCUGCGGCUGAAGGCGAGGACAGUCUGAAGAAGAUGCAACUGAUGGAACUAGCCAUUCUUAAUGGCACCUACAGAGACGCCAACAUCAAAUCACCUGCCCUUGCAUUCUCUCUUGCAGCGAGCGCCCAGGCACCACGGAUCAUCACCGGCCCAGCACCUGUCCUGCCGCCCACAGCCUUGCGCACGCCUACACCUGCAGGGCCCACCAUCAUGCCCCUCAUCCGCCAGAUCCAGACCGUCAUGCCCAACGGCUCGGCUCACCCAGCAACCGCCACCCUAGUGCAGCCCGGUCCAGAGUCAGGCCUGAUUUACGCAACGCCCUAUGAUUACCCCUACACACUGGCCCCCGCAACCUCCAUUUUGGAGUAUCCCAUCGACUCCAGCGGGGUUUUAGCAUCCUCAAAGGCCGAAGAGCUGCCCCUCUACCUGGGCUUUCAGACCUGUCACAUUCCCAUCACAGUUCAGCGCGGAGAGCCAACCGGCCGGCCUCCCUUUUAAAGUGCCCCCUCUCUCCCCCGCCCCCUCCGGCAAGCCCCUCCCUCACACCGCAGACACGCCCCCUGUCCCGCCUCCCUCUUAUCGGACUAGCUGGACUCCCCGGCCUCAUUCAUUCUGUCAGUUUCUUUUUUUUUUGGUUUUGUACUUUUGUUUUUAUCUGUAAUGUGAUGUUUAAGUUUUUUUAUGUGUUCAAUGAUGAGGGAGACAAAGCACUGAGCUCCAAACUGCUGCACAAGCCUUUCUGGACUACCCCUAUCCCUCAGUCUGAGCGGGCCGCAUCAGGAGGGGAAACAUGAGGAUGGUGAGGGGACAGUGGGGAUCAAAUUGGGAGGUAAACUAUUUGAGAUGGGGCAUCUGUCGAAAGCCAGGCUGUUCAUCGAGCAGUUUUAGGACAGUUUAAUGCACUAUGGUGGGGCAUUUUGACUUAAAAUGGCAUAGUCACAAUAUAUAAUCAAACAGUGAGGAUAUUGGCUUAUAAUAUUUUACCAAAGCCUUCUAACAACAUUAUUGCACUGCAGUAUUACAGCUCUAGUGAAAGUGUUGAGAAUUCAAAUAAGAAUGAUUCAAAAAGAAAAAAGCUAAAUCAAAACAACCAUAGUUAAUGACAAAAUGGGAAAUUAUGCUUAAUUGUCUUAAUAUAAAAUAUCUUAAUAUAAAGAAAAGCUUUAUUUUAUUGUAUACUGUCAUAUUUGUCUUUUGAUUUUUGGUUAAAAUAUGAUCCAGGCAUACACUACCAUUCAAAUGUUUGGGGUCAGUAAGAUUUUUUAAGAAAUUUAUAUUUUUUUCAUGAAGGAUGCAUUAAACUGCAGCAAAAAAAAAAACCGGUG